GACGAACGCUCUUUGCGUGCUUAACACAUGCAAGUCGAACGGAAAGGCCCUGCUUUUGUGGGGUGCUCGAGUGGCGAACGGGUGAGUAACACGUGAGUAACCUGCCCUUGACUUUGGGAUAACUUCAGGAAACUGGGGCUAAUACCGGAUAGGAGCUCCUGCUGCAUGGUGGGGGUUGGAAAGUUUCGGCGGUUGGGGAUGGACUCGCGGCUUAUCAGCUUGUUGGUGGGGUAGUGGCUUACCAAGGCUUUGACGGGUAGCCGGCCUGAGAGGGUGACCGGCCACAUUGGGACUGAGAUACGGCCCAGACUCCUACGGGAGGCAGCAGUGGGGAAUAUUGCACAAUGGGCGGAAGCCUGAUGCAGCAACGCCGCGUGCGGGAUGACGGCCUUCGGGUUGUAAACCGCUUUCGCCUGUGACGAAGCGUGAGUGACGGUAAUGGGUAAAGAAGCACCGGCUAACUACGUGCCAGCAGCCGCGGUGAUACGUAGGGUGCGAGCGUUGUCCGGAUUUAUUGGGCGUAAAGGGCUCGUAGGUGGUUGAUCGCGUCGGAAGUGUAAUCUUGGGGCUUAACCCUGAGCGUGCUUUCGAUACGGGUUGACUUGAGGAAGGUAGGGGAGAAUGGAAUUCCUGGUGGAGCGGUGGAAUGCGCAGAUAUCAGGAGGAACACCAGUGGCGAAGGCGGUUCUCUGGGCCUUUCCUGACGCUGAGGAGCGAAAGCGUGGGGAGCGAACAGGCUUAGAUACCCUGGUAGUCCACGCUGUAAACGGUGGGUACUAGGUGUGGGGUCCAUUCCACGGGUUCCGUGCCGUAGCUAACGCUUUAAGUACCCCGCCUGGGGAGUACGGCCGCAAGGCUAAAACUCAAAGGAAUUGACGGGGCCCCGCACAAGCGGCGGAGCAUGCGGAUUAAUUCGAUGCAACGCGUAGAACCUUACCUGGGUUUGACAUGGAUCGGGAGUGCUCAGAGAUGGGUGUGCCUCUUUUGGGGUCGGUUCACAGGUGGUGCAUGCCUGUCGUCAGCUCGUGUCGUGAGAUGUUGGGUUAAGUCCCGCAACGAGCGCAACCCUUGUUCACUGUUGCCAGCACGUUAUGGUGGGGACUCAGUGGAGACCGCCGGGGUCAACUCGGAGGAAGGUGGGGAUGACGUCAAGUCAUCAUGCCCCUUAUGUCCAGGGCUUCACGCAUGCUACAAUGGCUGGUACAGAGAGUGGCGAGCCUGUGAGGGUGAGCGAAUCUCGGAAAGCCGGUCUCAGUUCGGAUUGGGGUCUGCAACUCGACCUCAUGAAGUCGGAGUCGCUAGUAAUCGCAGAUCAGCAACGCUGCGGUGAAUACGUUCCCGGG
This 1343-nucleotide ribosomal RNA is filed under the name uncultured bacterium. RNAcentral describes it as "16S ribosomal RNA". It matches the Rfam family "Bacterial small subunit ribosomal RNA", at positions 28 to 1378 of the family's 1533-position model. The record is from RNAcentral.